GACGAACGCUGGCGGCGUGCUUAACACAUGCAAGUCGAACGGAAAGGCCUCUUUCGGGGGGUACUCGAGUGGCGAACGGGUGAGUAACACGUGAGUAACCUGCCCUUGACUUUGGGAUAACUUCAGGAAACUGGGGCUAAUACCGGAUAGGAGCUCCUGCUGCAUGGUGGGGGUUGGAAAGUUUCGGCGGUUGGGGAUGGACUCGCGGCUUAUCAGCUUGUUGGUGGGGUAGUGGCUUACCAAGGCUUUGACGGGUAGCCGGCCUGAGAGGGUGACCGGCCACAUUGGGGCUGAGAUACGGCCCAGACUCCUACGGGAGGCAGCAGUGGGGAAUAUUGCACAAUGGGUGGAAGCCUGAUGCAGCAACGCCGUGUGCGGGAGGACGGCCUUCGGGUUGUAAACCGCUUUCGCUCAUGACGAAGCUUUGUGUGACGGUAGUGGGUAAAGAAGCACCGGCUAACUACGUG
This 467-nucleotide ribosomal RNA is filed under the name uncultured bacterium. RNAcentral describes it as "partial 16S ribosomal RNA". It matches the Rfam family "Bacterial small subunit ribosomal RNA", at positions 28 to 507 of the family's 1533-position model. The record is from RNAcentral.